RNAcentral lists this ribosomal RNA (252 nucleotides) under uncultured bacterium. RNAcentral's name for it is "partial 16S ribosomal RNA". It matches the Rfam family "Bacterial small subunit ribosomal RNA", at positions 524 to 776 of the family's 1533-position model. The record is from RNAcentral.
GACGAACCGUGCAAACGUUGUUCGGAAUCACUGGGCUUAAAGGCGCGUAGGCGGCUUGCCAAGUCAGGGGUGAAAUCUUUCGGCUUAACCGGAAAAGUGCCUUUGAUACUGGCGAGCUAGAGGGAGGUAGGGGCAUGUGGAACUUCCGGUGGAGCGGUGAAAUGCGUUGAUAUCGGAAGGAACGCCGGUGGCGAAAGCGACGUGCUGGAUCUCUUCUGACGCUGAGGCGCGAAAGCUAGGGGAGCGAACGGG